GCCAAUGCAUAAGGGAAGGGUCUGUCAUCUGGGGAGAUAAUGAACAGACACAGAAUCUACUAUCUCCCACUGGAGCGACCCUGGGCCAGUACCUUGCCUUCUCAGAAUCUCACCUCCGUCGGCAUUCAAGAACAAGUAUCUGCCAUCUUCCAAGGACUAAUCCCUCACGAGAAACUGACCCUUGGUUAACUUCUUGGCCGUUUUUCCCUGGAAACAGAUAAAGACCGAAUGUCUGCGAGAGCGUCAGUGUCAUUCAGCUGGACGCCGUCAGCAUCGACACACGUCGGCUCCUGCUGACUGUUUAUUCUUCUCAGUGUGGGAGGUACAGGUAUUGACUUUAAGUUUCAAGAAA
Molecule: long non-coding RNA, 352 nt
Organism: Neofelis nebulosa (Clouded leopard)
Lineage: Eukaryota; Metazoa; Chordata; Mammalia; Carnivora; Felidae
Exons: 4
Source: RefSeq, a predicted model, not a curated record